GCCAGUGCGGCACGCUCGGCCUGCACGCGGCGCUGCCGCUCGCGCACGGGCUGCUGCGCGACGGCGGCCGCAUGCUGUUCGUCGCCGCCGACAAAUGGGUGUAUCCGUUCCUGCGCACCUACGGCGAGUUCGUCGCCUACGGCGACGGCGCCGCGGCGAUCCUGCUCGGCCACGCCGAAACCGACGCCGAAGCCGACGCGGCGCAGGCCCGCGUACUCGGCCAUGCGCUCGCGCACGGCGAGCCGAUCGCCGACCCUUGGGCGCGGCAGCCGGCCGAGCUCGAACGCGCGCUCGUCGCGCCGACCGUCGACGCGGCGCGCGCGGCGCUCGCCGACGCGGGCGUCGGCGCCGCGCGGAUCGACUGCUUCGCGCCGGGCGGCUUCAGCGCGUCGUUUCGCACGACGCUCGCGCGCGCGCUCGCGAUCCCGCCGUCGCGCCUGCAAGUGCGCGACGGCGUCGAGCAUCUGUCCACCGCCGACACGCCGCGCGCGCUCGCGCAGGCGCAGGCGUCGCUCGCGCCCGGCGAACGGCGGCUCGCGCUCUUUUGCGACACCGCGCUCGCGGGCGGCGCGGGCGCGCUCGUCGCGCAGUUGCGCGGCGCGCACGCAUCGUCUUCGUCCACCCGAACCCGGUAUCCGUCAUGAGCGCCUAUCAAGUGAGCCUGCGCGAACUGCGCUUCUUUCUGUGGGAACUGUGCGACGCCGAAGCGGCGUUCCUGUCGCACGCGCCGUACCGAACGCACGACCGCGCAUACUACGACCGCCUGCUCGAGCGCGCGCGUGACUUCGCGCUCGAGAUCGGCGAGAGCUAUCGCGCGAGCGACAUCGAAUCGUGCUCGCUGCGCGACGACGGCACGGUGCGCAUCCCCGCCGAUUUCCACGCGCUGUGGCCGCGCUUUCGCGACGAAUGGGCGGGCCUGCUGUUCGAUCGCCAUUCGGCCGAGGCGGGCGACGCGCCGCACGCGGACGUGCCGAUGGUCGUCAAGCAAGCGGUGUUCGAGAUGCUGAUGGGCGCGAACCCGUCGUUCAUGACCUACGGCGGCUUCACGCAUCCGGCCUGCAAGCUGUUGACGCUGCACGGCACGCCGGAGCAAAAGGCGCUGCGCGGGCCCCUGCUGCGCUACGACUGGGAUGCGUGCUUCUGCGCGACCGAGCCGCAGGCGGGCUCGGACAUGACGGCCGUGCGCACGGUCGCGACGCCGCUUGGCGACGGCGUCUGCGCGGUGACGGGCGAGAAGGUCUACAUCUCGGCCGGCAUGCACGACCUGACCGAGAACACGCUGUACUUCGUGCUCGGCCGCAUCGGCUCGACGGCGCCCGAUUCGUUCUCGCUGUCGUGCCUGAUCGUGCCGCGCUUCUGGCGCGACGACG
RNAcentral lists this ribosomal RNA (1370 nucleotides) under Burkholderia mallei FMH. RNAcentral describes it as "16S ribosomal RNA". The record is from RNAcentral. Lineage: Bacteria; Pseudomonadati; Pseudomonadota; Betaproteobacteria; Burkholderiales; Burkholderiaceae.